RNAcentral lists this ribosomal RNA (274 nucleotides) under uncultured bacterium. RNAcentral describes it as "partial 16S ribosomal RNA". It matches the Rfam family "Bacterial small subunit ribosomal RNA", at positions 523 to 796 of the family's 1533-position model. The record is from RNAcentral.
CUACGAAGGGGGCUAGCGUUGUUCGGAAUCACUGGGCGUAAAGCGCGCGUAGGUGGAUCAAUUAGUUGAGGGUGAAAUCCCGGGGCUCAACCUCGGAACUGCCUUCAAUACUGUUGAUCUUGAGACCGAGAGAGGUGAGUGGAAUUCCUAGUGUAGAGGUGAAAUUCGUAGAUAUUAGGAAGAACACCAGUGGCGAAGGCGGCUCACUGGCUCGGUACUGACGCUGAGGUGCGAAAGCGUGGGGAGCAAACAGGAUUAGAAACCCCAGUAGUCC